GGGGAUGACUGGAUUUGACAGCGGGCAGAAGUGGUAGGUAAGCAUGCAGUGCGCUGGUGGCUAGCACUAUAAUCUUUGGAGACCAAAAAUUUAACUGGCGAGAAUAACUAUGCUCUUGCUGCUUAAUCGAAUAAUAGUAGAUUGAAGCUUAAUCUGGACACGGGUGUUCAGACAAGACGUUUCCCCGAUGCUAAGUCCUGAGGCGGUCGGAAUCGGAGGCGCAGAAAAAUCAGGAAUAGUUUGGGUAUGCCUCGCUGCCCGAAUGAAAUUUUAGAGGAUAAGACGGUAGUUGGUGGUCUUGGUCUUGCUAUCGUACGAAAAUGAAGUCAAGAAUAAGCAUGUAGAAAGCUUAUGAUUUCCUCGUUUGGACCAGGGUUCGAACCCCUGCAUCUCCACA
RNAcentral lists this transfer-messenger RNA (397 nucleotides) under bovine gut metagenome. It matches the Rfam family "transfer-messenger RNA". Rfam says of the family: Bacterial tmRNA, also known as 10Sa RNA or SsrA, is named for its dual tRNA and mRNA-like properties. Its role is to liberate the mRNA from a stalled ribosome. The record is from RNAcentral.